AUAUCAAUAAGCGGAGGAAAAGAAACUAACAAGGAUUCCCCUAGUAACGGCGAGUGAAGCGGGAAAAGCUCAAAUUUAAAAUCUGGUAGUCUUUGGCUAUCCGAGUUGUAAUCUAGAGAAGUAUUUUCCGCGUUGGACCAUGUACAAGUUUCCUGGAACGGAACGUCAUAGAGGGUGAGAAUCCCGUCCUUGACAUGGACUACCAGUGCUUUGUGAUAUACUCUCAAAGAGUCGAGUUGUUUGGGAAUGCAGCUCAAAAUGGGAGGUAAAUUCCUUCUAAAGCUAAAUAUUGGCGAGAGACCGAUAGCGCACAAGUA
RNAcentral lists this ribosomal RNA (317 nucleotides) under uncultured Cantharellales. RNAcentral's name for it is "partial large subunit ribosomal RNA". It matches the Rfam family "Eukaryotic large subunit ribosomal RNA", at positions 40 to 350 of the family's 3401-position model. The record is from RNAcentral. Lineage: Eukaryota; Fungi; Basidiomycota; Agaricomycetes; Cantharellales.